Nicotiana tabacum (common tobacco) is the source of this 688-nucleotide long non-coding RNA. RefSeq lists it as uncharacterized. NCBI's taxonomy places the organism in Eukaryota, Viridiplantae, Streptophyta, Magnoliopsida, Solanales, Solanaceae. The record is from RefSeq and is a predicted model, not a curated record.
AUUGUCACAUCUACCGUCUUUCGCCUCAUCUACUUUUGUAGUUGAAAAUCUGUUUUUACGGCCUUUGAACAGAUCUAUUCUCUUCAUUUUCCCUCUUUCUGUUUUAUUUUGUAACCAAGUUGUACCCCUUUUUCCUUUUCGUCGUCACAGGUUCGUAAUAAGAAUCACAUAUUAUGCUGGGCAUGCCAGAAUUAUUAUUGUUACCUUUGUAGAAAGAUGUCCGGUUUGAGCCGAGGGUCUAUCGAAAACAGCCUCUCAGUGCAGAAAGAUAGUGAAGUGAAGCUCCCAGCAUUAUGGACCUAAGGGCUGCAAACAACACACUGCUGAAUAAUUGGAAAGAACGUUUCAAUUCAAGGGGAUCUUCCCGAAAUCUUUAUUGUUCUUGUUCAUUGAAGUCCAUGUUCCUCGUACAUUCUUAUGCCAAAGGUUGAUGUUUAGGAUCCUAGCUUGUCGCCUGAGGAAGGUCGUCUCGUGUGAUAUAUUACAUAUUCAAAGCUAUUGUAAGUACAAAUUGUAGUAGCGUACACAUGAUUUUGUGCAAGUGAGUUCAUCCAAAAACUGAGGCAGAAUUAGCCAUCUUGACAGCAGGAACGAUUCCGGCACAAGCAGAUUUUAACCACAGUUGUUUUUCCUUCCCAAAGGUAAAAGAGUGUUGUUGAGAGUACUUAUAGUUGCAUAAGUUUUAUCA